This 1357-nucleotide ribosomal RNA is filed under the name uncultured bacterium. Its description in RNAcentral is "16S ribosomal RNA". It matches the Rfam family "Bacterial small subunit ribosomal RNA", at positions 32 to 1380 of the family's 1533-position model. The record is from RNAcentral.
AACGCUAGCUACAGGCUUAACACAUGCAAGUCGAGGGGCAGCAUUUUCAGUUUUGCUUGCAAACUGGAGAUGGCGACCGGCGCACGGGUGAGUAACACGUAUCCAACCUGCCGAUAACUCGGGGAUAGCCUUUCGAAAGAAAGAUUAAUACCCGAUGGUAUAAUCAGACCGCAUGGUCUUGUUAUUAAAGAAUUUCGGUUAUCGAUGGGGAUGCGUUCCAUUAGGCAGUUGGUGAGGUAACGGCUCACCAAACCUUCGAUGGAUAGGGGUUCUGAGAGGAAGGUCCCCCACAUUGGAACUGAGACACGGUCCAAACUCCUACGGGAGGCAGCAGUGAGGAAUAUUGGUCAAUGGGCGCAGGCCUGAACCAGCCAAGUAGCGUGAAGGAUGACUGCCCUAUGGGUUGUAAACUUCUUUUAUAUGGGAAUAAAGUUUUCCACGUGUGGAAUUUUGUAUGUACCAUAUGAAUAAGGAUCGGCUAACUCCGUGCCAGCAGCCGCGGUAAUACGGAGGAUCCGAGCGUUAUCCGGAUUUAUUGGGUUUAAAGGGAGCGUAGGUGGACAGUUAAGUCAGUUGUGAAAGUUUGCGGCUCAACCGUAAAAUUGCAGUUGAUACUGGCUGUCUUGAGUACAGUAGAGGUGGGCGGAAUUCGUGGUGUAGCGGUGAAAUGCUUAGAUAUCACGAAGAACUCCGAUUGCGAAGGCAGCUCACUGGACUGCAACUGACACUGAUGCUCGAAAGUGUGGGUAUCAAACAGGAUUAGAUACCCUGGUAGUCCACACAGUAAACGAUGAAUACUCGCUGUUUGCGAUAUACAGUAAGCGGCCAAGCGAAAGCAUUAAGUAUUCCACCUGGGGAGUACGCCGGCAACGGUGAAACUCAAAGGAAUUGACGGGGGCCCGCACAAGCGGAGGAACAUGUGGUUUAAUUCGAUGAUACGCGAGGAACCUUACCCGGGCUUAAAUUGCAUUUGAAUAUAUUGGAAACAGUAUAGCCGUAAGGCAAAUGUGAAGGUGCUGCAUGGUUGUCGUCAGCUCGUGCCGUGAGGUGUCGGCUUAAGUGCCAUAACGAGCGCAACCCUUAUCUUUAGUUACUAACAGGUCAUGCUGAGGACUCUAGAGAGACUGCCGUCGUAAGAUGUGAGGAAGGUGGGGAUGACGUCAAAUCAGCACGGCCCUUACGUCCGGGGCUACACACGUGUUACAAUGGGGGGUACAGAAGGCAGCUACCUGGUGACAGGAUGCUAAUCCCAAAAGCCUCUCUCAGUUCGGAUCGAAGUCUGCAACCCGACUUCGUGAAAGCUGGAUUCGCUAGUAAUCGCGCAUCAGCCAUGGCGCGGUGAAUACGUUCCCGGGCC